CCCUUAGAUGUUCUGGGCCGCACGCGCGCUACACUGACGAAGUCAGCGAGCAUGUCCUACGCCGACAGGUGCGGGGAAUCUUGUCAAACUUCGUCGUGAUGGGGAUUGAUUAUUGAAAUUCUUGAUCAUCAACGAGGAAUUCCUAGUAAGCGCAAGUCAGCAGCUUGCGUUGAUUACGUCCCUGCCCUUUGUACACACCGCCCGUCGCUACUACCGAUUGAAUGGUUUAGUGAGAUCUUCGGAUUGGCGCCACUGCGGCUCAGCAAUGGGCUCGGUGGAUGCCGAAAAGUUGAUCAAACUUGAUCAGUUAGAGGAAGUAAAAGUCGUAACA
This 331-nucleotide ribosomal RNA is filed under the name uncultured eukaryote. Its description in RNAcentral is "partial 18S ribosomal RNA". It matches the Rfam family "Eukaryotic small subunit ribosomal RNA", at positions 1470 to 1796 of the family's 1831-position model. The record is from RNAcentral.